This 1323-nucleotide unclassified non-coding RNA is filed under the name Hevea brasiliensis (rubber tree). Lineage: Eukaryota; Viridiplantae; Streptophyta; Magnoliopsida; Malpighiales; Euphorbiaceae. The record is from RNAcentral.
GUCUAAAAGAAAAAAGAUGCUGGAGAAUCAGCUGGUUGAGAUCACUGAACGACCCUCAAUUGGCAUUGUUGAACUUAAGAAAGCCUUGUCUGCUUUGCUCAAGCUUGGUAGAGGUUCUUUGGCACAUCAGCUACUUGUUAAUUCGUACAGAUCUCGUCUUCGGAAAAGUAUUGAGGCUUUCCUUCCCCUUUGUCCUUGUUAUCCCGAGACUUAUUCAGCCACAUUGUCUAACCUUGUAUUCUCUACCAUUUCUUUGGCUACUAAGGAAUCUGGUGCAAUGUUUGGUGACAAUCCUGUUUAUAGCAACAGAAUUAUCCAGUGGGCAGAAAGGGAGAUUGAAUACUUUGUGCGGUUAGUUAAAGAACAUGCACCACCUUCUGAUGGAGCUCCUGCUUUACAUGCAGCAAGUGUUUGUGUUCAAGCCAGUCUUAACCACUGUAAUGCCCUGGAGAAACAGGGCCUUAAACUGUCAAAAUUACUCUUGGUGCUUUUGCACCCAUAUAUGGAAGAAGUCCUCGAGUUGAACUAUAUACGAGCCAGGAAAGCGGUUCUUGAUUUUGCUUCAAGUGAUGAAGGGAAACCAUUGUCACCUCGGUUUGCGUCUCCUUUAUCUACAUUUGCAACUACAUCUGAUACUCUGCUUGUUGAAAGUGGAAUGAGAUUCAUAUAUAUAGUCAAAGAAAUAGUGGAGAAGCUCACCCAGUUAGUCAUUCUACAUUUUGGAGCUAACAUAUUGACCAGAAUUUCACAUCUUUUUGACAAGUAUGUGGAUUCUUUGAUUAAAGCCCUGCCUGGUCUUUCUGAGGAUGAUAAUCUCACUGAGCUGAAAGAACCUGUUCCUUUUAGAGCUGAAACAGACUCUCAGCAGCUUGCACUAUUGGGAACUGCAUUUACCAUUGCUGAGGAACUAUUGCCUAUGGUUGUAUCUAGAAUUUGGAAUGUUCUUAAUGAAAGCAAGGAAGUGGGGUCUGAAAAUGUGAUGCCUGCCGCAAACAAUACCGUAGAACUCAAGGACUGGAGGCGUCAACUUCAGCAUUCACUGGACAAACUUAGAGAUAAUUUCUGUCGACAAUAUGUUGUUAAUUUCAUAUAUUCAAGAGAUGGUGAUGCACGAUUAGAUGCUCAGAUUUAUUUGAGUGGUGUCGGACAAGAUACAAUUUGGGACGCUGAUCCGCUACCUUCAUUGCCAUUUCAGGCAUUAUUUGGUAAGCUGCAGCAAUUAGCAACUGUGGCAGGAGAUGUUCUUCUCGGAAGAGAGAAGAUACAGAAGGUUUUGCUUGCCAGACUGACAGAGACUGUGGUAAUGUGGUUGUCUGAUGAACA